UUACCGAGUUUACAACUCCCAAACCCCUGUGAACAUACCACUUGUUGCCUCGGCGGAUCAGCCCGCUCCCGGUAAAACGGGACGGCCCGCCAGAGGACCCCUAAACUCUGUUUCUAUAUGUAACUUCUGAGUAAAACCAUAAAUAAAUCAAAACUUUCAACAACGGAUCUCUUGGUUCUGGCAUCGAUGAAGAACGCAGCAAAAUGCGAUAAGUAAUGUGAAUUGCAGAAUUCAGUGAAUCAUCGAAUCUUUGAACGCACAUUGCGCCCGCCAGUAUUCUGGCGGGCAUGCCUGUUCGAGCGUCAUUUCAACCCUCAAGCACAGCUUGGUGUUGGGACUCGCGUUAAUUCGCGUUCCUCAAAUUGAUUGGCGGUCACGUCGAGCUUCCAUAGCGUAGUAGUAAAACCCUCGUUACUGGUAAUCGUCGCGGCCACGCCGUUAAACCCCAACUUCUGAAUGUUGACCUCGGAUCAGGUAGGAAUACCCGCUGAACUUAAGCAUAUCAAUAAG
RNAcentral lists this ribosomal RNA (510 nucleotides) under Fusarium oxysporum. RNAcentral describes it as "eukaryotic LSU rRNA". The stretch from base 152 to 305 matches the Rfam family "5.8S ribosomal RNA". Lineage: Eukaryota; Fungi; Ascomycota; Sordariomycetes; Hypocreales; Nectriaceae. The record is from RNAcentral.